GGGUGAGGUGGCGGGCUCCUGUGCACACCACCACGUCCGCCUAAUUUUUGUAUUUUUUAAUAGAGAAGGGGUUUUGCCAUGUUGGCCCGGCUGGUCUUGAACUUCUGACCUCAGGUGAUUUGCCCACCUCAGCAUCCCAAAGUGCUGGGAUUACAGGCAUAAGCUACCGCACCCGGCCAAACUCACUGAAGUUUUUUGAAAAUUUUAUACAUUUAUGUUAUUUAAUAUAAUGUUUCGUAAAUGGUAAUUAUUACUAUCCAUUUUUAUAAAAAGAUGCAUUAAGUUAUAUGAUACCUGACUUAUUUUGUAAUUUAUAAAAUUUCAGACCCCACUGCAUAUGCCAUGUAUAGUGGCUAGCUGGUAUCCCACGCUUAUGUGAGAAGGGCUAAAUGAAGAGAUGCUGAGGCCCUUCAAAGUGAGUGCUCUACUCUGCUGCAUUGCCCAGAGAUUAGAUUUCUUGACAUUUACCUUAAAACCCUGAACAGUUUGUGCUCGGGAGCUCUGCUAUUUGCUAAACUACUUUAGUAAACAGCAUGCUGUGAAGCAAGACCCCACCAGAGCCCUUUCUGCAAUAUCUUUUAAUUUUGGUUUUCCUUUAUGCCCACGUGUGGUUUUAUAUUAUAGACCAAUGGAAAAAAAAUAAUUUGAUGUGAGUAAUGUUGCUUUUUCCUCCAAUUUUUCAUGGCUUUAAAAAAUAAUUAAGGAGAGCCUUUAAUACUUCUUUGAAAGUAAUUAUGAAGGUUUUUUUUAGUAUUUUGAAAGAUCAUAGAAUCCACUAUAUAGUAAUUUUUAAAUAUUUUAAAUUGGAUGUUUAACUCUAAAUUAGAAAAAGCAGAACAUUAUUGAAAGCUUUUCUUUAAUAGAAAAACUGCUUUGAUUUUUAUUUCAUAAUCAUUAAUUUAAAAUAUUAGUUACAUGAAUUAUUAUUUACAACUUGCAUAGUAAUUUUCAUACAUCUCCAUAAUAAAAAUUCACUCUGUAAUCUCUUCUGUAAAAAGAAGUAAACAGCACCUGCCAGAGCACUGUAGCAACAAGAGCCAUCAAAUGUGUAUUCACUUCACUAUUCAACAGUGAAAGAGUUAAUAAAAGCUGAAUACAUUAUAGGAUUACAAAGAAUUUUAUUUAUUAGGGGAUGGGGAGGGUAUGGUAUAUAUGGGAUGAUACAUUAAUAACCUCUGUAUUCUGCAAGACUGACCUAUUGCUUUGGAACUACUCUCUUAGCCCCACAGAGACUGUGAAACAGUGUUUUGGUGGUCUAUAGGAGAGGUUCAACUUGGCAAAUGUAGUGGUAAGUGAUGUCAUUGAAUGCAUACCAUAUGUAUUGAGAGUCAGUGAAUGCUAUUCUCACUGCUGCACACAGGCAUAUGUAAGUGUUGGAAUGGAAAAAUCAUUUUUAUGAAAAUAUAGAGAAGUAAAACAAGAAUGUUCUGUCCUGAGCCUGAUCAGAUCACCAGUAGCUGCCAAGAAUGAACGCUCCGUGUAAGGUUUUCUCUUCUUAAUUCUCCAGCUUCCGGCCUUUUGUUGGCUCUCAAAAGUAGUCUAUUCGGAAGGCCUUAUUCAGCAUGUUCUUUCUUGAUAUGAUAUGAACACCAAAUGAAAGUUCCAUUUUCUCCAUUAAAGUAAAGCUGGGAGAAUAUUUUAGUGUGCAUGGUUUGCAGCAGAUGGAAAUGAUUAAUUGAUUUAGCUAACUUGCCAAAUUGUUCUCUUUCCCAGUAGAGUUGGGUUUUAUCAGAGAUUCGUACUGCUAAUCAUUGUAACACUUACUAAUGUAUCAGAAAGAAUAUAAUUGUUGCAUUUUAAUUAUUCUCAUUACUAUUAUUUAAGGCAUUAUGCUCUAAUGCUACACUAAUGGAUAUGUCAAAUAAAUAAAGCAAUUGAUUCCUUUUGGAAAUUUAUGACCUAUAAGAUAGAGUAGAAGAAUACAUGGAGAUAUAAAAAUGUGAAGUAGCCAGUUAUUUUACUCUUAAAUUUUUAUUAGCAAAUCAGUGUCCUUACCAAAAGUCAAGUGUCAUUUUCUUAAGCUUGAAUAGAUGCUAUCUUAAAUCUUAAUCUCUUUUGUAUUUUGUAUAAAGACUGCCUGUUAUAACAGUAUGAUUUUAAAGUAACACUUCAAGAAAUAAAAACAAUAUUUGCCCUUUAUAAUAGGACAUUAGAAAUGUAAAUGUAAAUAAUAAUAUAGAUUGUUAUAGCAAUUCUGUUAACACUUUGAUAUUUCAUUUUAGAUUUUUAAUAUACAUAUACAUAUAUACAUAUAAGAAACAUAUGUUGUAUAGAUAUAUGUAUAUUUUUAUUUUUACAAAAUUUGGAAAUACUCUUUAACAUUUUCUCAGCUAUUUUUACUUAAUAAUAUAACUUGAUAUUUUCCUGUCAUUAAAAUGUUUUUAGAAAUCUCCUUUUUAAUGGGGAAUUAAUUUUUUAAUUAAACAAACUUUUUAAAAUUUAGAGACAGGGUCUCAUUCUAUUCCCCAGGCUGGAGUGCAGUGGUGCCAUCAUAGCUUAUGCAGCCUCGAAUUCCUGGGCUCAAGUGCUUCUCCUGCCUCAGCCUUCCAAAUGCUGGGAUUACUGCUGGUGUGAGCCAUUGAGCCUGGCCCUAAGGAGUGAGUUUUUGUUUUGUAAAGGAAAUACUGCUUUUUGGAUUAGAAAAAGUCAAUAUACCCCUUACAUUUCAGCUCCUAAAAUUUUAACCAAGGAUGCAGUGGGUAGCAGUAAAUAGUGAGGUGGCUGAAGCUAUUACUAUGACACAUUAACUCUUACAUUGGCUCUUUUCAUUCUGCAUUUGGGCAUGACUCCUAUAGGUAUAAAGCAAGAGCUAAUAUCUUCCGUACUGUGCAUUAAAAAUUCAAAAUAUGUGCUGGUUAAUAAGCACUACUUACAGUAUGAGUAUUAAAAAAUUUUCAGACCAGCCAUGGUGGCUCAUGCUUCUGUAAUCCAAGCACUUUGGGAGGCUGAGGUGAGAGGAUCGACUGAUCCAGGAGUUUUUGAGUUUACAGUGAGCUAUGUUUACACCAAUGUACUCCAGCCUGGGCAACAGAGCAAGACUGUCUCAAAAAAAAAAAAAAAAAAAAAAAAAA
This is a long non-coding RNA of Macaca fascicularis (crab-eating macaque), 3071 nucleotides long. NCBI's taxonomy places the organism in Eukaryota, Metazoa, Chordata, Mammalia, Primates, Cercopithecidae. The record is from Ensembl.